This 505-nucleotide ribosomal RNA is filed under the name uncultured bacterium. Its description in RNAcentral is "bacterial SSU rRNA". It matches the Rfam family "Bacterial small subunit ribosomal RNA", at positions 791 to 1301 of the family's 1533-position model. The record is from RNAcentral.
UAGUCCACGCCGUAAACGAUGAUCACUCGCUGUAGGCGAUACACAGUCUGUGGCUAAGCGAAAGUUUUAAGUGAUCCACCUGGGGAGUACGAUCGCAAGAUUGAAACUCAAAGGAAUUGACGGGGGCCCGCACAAGCGGAGGAACAUGUGGUUUAAUUCGAUGAUACGCGAGGAACCUUACCUGGACUUAAAUGUAGAUUGCAUAGCUUAGAGAUAGGCUUUUCUUCGGACUAUUUACAAGGUGCUGCAUGGUUGUCGUCAGCUCGUGCCGUGAGGUGUCGGGUUAAGUCCCAUAACGAGCGCAACCCCUAUCCUUAGUUGCCAGCGGGUCAUGCCGGGGACUCUGACGAGACUGCCUACGCAAGUAGUGAGGAAGGCGGGGACGACGUCAAAUCAUCAUGGCCUUUAUGCCUAGGGCGACACACGUGCUACAAUGGUAGGUACAGAGGGUAGCUAAGCCGCGAGGUGGAGCCAAUCCCAGAAAGCCUAUCCCAGUUCGGAUUGG